RNAcentral lists this transfer RNA (70 nucleotides) under Candidatus Dwaynesavagella gallinarum. It matches the Rfam family "tRNA". From Rfam's summary of the family: Transfer RNA (tRNA) molecules are approximately 80 nucleotides in length. Their secondary structure includes four short double-helical elements and three loops (D, anti-codon, and T loops). RNAcentral also lists the same sequence under 1 other name. The record is from RNAcentral. Lineage: Bacteria; Bacillati; Bacillota; Clostridia; Eubacteriales; Clostridiaceae.
AUCUAUAGCUCAGUUGGAUAGAGUGUUGGACUUCGAAUCCAAAGGUCGCAGGUUCGAAUCCUGCUAGGUG